UGUGUUUGAUUGCUAGCUUGUAGCUAAGCUAGCAGUCAUUUAAAAAAUGAUGUAGCUAUGUAUGAUUGUUUGAAUGCUAACGUUUGCUCAAAACGCCAUUCAGCUGACAGCCUUUGUUGUGAUUGAUGCUAAUUUGUAGCCAGCAGCAGAAGUCCUUUCA
This is a long non-coding RNA of Etheostoma cragini (Arkansas darter), 160 nucleotides long. RefSeq lists it as uncharacterized. The transcript is spliced from 3 exons. NCBI's taxonomy places the organism in Eukaryota, Metazoa, Chordata, Actinopteri, Perciformes, Percidae. The record is from RefSeq and is a predicted model, not a curated record.